UAUGGGGUGAGAUAUGGGGUGAGAUAUGGGGGGAGAUAUGGGGUGAGAUAUGGGGGGAGAUAUGGGGUGAGAUAUGGGGUGAGAUAUGGAGUCAGAUAUGGGGUGAGAUAUGGGGUGAGAUAUGGGGUGGGAUAUGGGGUGAGAUAUGGGGUGAUAUAUGGGGUUAUGGGAUAUGGGGUGAGAUAUGGGGUUAUGGGAUAUGGGGUGGGAUAUGGGGGGAGAUAUGGGGUGAGAUAUGGGGUCAGAUAUGGGGUGAGAUAUGGGGUGAGAUAUGGGGUCAGAUAUGGGGUUAUGGGAUAUGGGGUGAGAUAUGGGGUGAGAUAUGGGGUCAGAUAUGGGGUUAUGGGAUAUGGGGUGAGAUAUGGGGUGAGAUAUGGGGUUAUGGGAUAUGGGGUGGAGAUAUGGGGUGGAGAUGGGGUUAUAGGGACGAGAUAUGGGGUGUCCCAUUGAGGUAAUAGGGUCCCAUUGAGGUUAUAGGGACGAGAUAUGGGGUGUCCCAUUGAGGUUAAAGGGACGAGAUAUGGGGUGUCCCAUUGAGGUUAUAGGGUCCUAUCGAGGUUAUAGGGACGACAUACGGGAUGUAGCUGACGUUAUAGGGUCGAUCUAUAGGGUGCCCCAUAGAUUGAGGCCCCGUCUGACCUGACGACCUCGGGCAGGUUGUGGUUGAUGGAGAAGAUCCCGUUCCUCAUCGGGGACGAGACCGGAACUUGUUUGAUGAUGACGUUGUCGGGGGUCUAUAGGGUCAGUAUGGGGCUGUCACCACCCUAUAGGGUCACCAUGGGCCCUAUAGGGUCAGUAUGGGGCUGUCACCACCCUAUAGGGUCACUAUGGGCCCUAUAGGGUCACUAUGGGGCUGUCACCACCCUAUAGGGUCACUAUGGGCCCUCUAGGGUCAAUAUGGGGCUGUCACCACCCUAUAGGGUCACUAUGGGCCCUAUAGGGUCACUAUGGGCCCUAUAGGGUCAGUAUGGGGCUGUCACCACCCUAUAGGGUCACUAUGGGCCCUAUAGGGUCAGUAUGGACCCUAUAUUGUCACUAUGGACCCUAUAGUGUCAAUAUAGACCCUAUAGUGUCACUAUGGACCUUAUAGGGUCUCUACAGACCCUAUAGUGCCCCCCACCCUAUAGCGCCCCCUAUAUGUCGUCACCCACCUUGACCUCCACGAUGACGGUCUUCAACAGCGGCUCCAUGAAGUGAUUGACAGCAAAGAGACGGCACAGAACUGAGGGGGGACAAUGGGGGGAGAUGGGGGGGGACAACGUGUGGGGCAGCCCCACAUGGAGCCCUGACCCCUAUAUAGGGGGUAAAGAACAUGGCCGCCAUAUUGGGGUACAAUAUGGGGUAGAACAUGGCCGCCAUAUUGGGGUCCAAUAUGGGGUGGGGUAGAACAUGGCCGCCAUAUGGGUCCAAUAUGGGGUAGAACAUGGCCCGCCAUAUUUGGGGUCCAAUA
Molecule: long non-coding RNA, 1450 nt
Filed under: Coturnix japonica (Japanese quail)
Lineage: Eukaryota; Metazoa; Chordata; Aves; Galliformes; Phasianidae
Description: lncRNA (ENSCJPG00005002381.1)
Source: RNAcentral